RNAcentral lists this ribosomal RNA (497 nucleotides) under uncultured bacterium. RNAcentral describes it as "partial 16S ribosomal RNA". It matches the Rfam family "Bacterial small subunit ribosomal RNA", at positions 28 to 507 of the family's 1533-position model. The record is from RNAcentral.
GAUGAACGCUGGCGGCGUGCCUAAUACAUGCAAGUCGAGCGAACGGACGAGAAGCUUGCUUCUCUGAUGUUAGCGGCGGACGGGUGAGUAACACGUGGAUAACCUACCUAUAAGACUGGGAUAACUUCGGGAAACCGGAGCUAAUACCGGAUAAUAUUUUGAACCGCAUGGUUCAACAGUGAAAGACGGUCUUGCUGUCACUUAUAGAUGGAUCCGCGCUGCAUUAGCUAGUUGGUAAGGUAACGGCUUACCAAGGCAACGAUGCAUAGCCGACCUGAGAGGGUGAUCGGCCACACUGGAACUGAGACACGGUCCAGACUCCUGCGGGAGGCAGCAGUAGGGAAUCUUCCGCAAUGGGCGAAAGCCUGACGGAGCAACGCCGCGUGAGUGAUGAAGGUCUUCGGAUCGUAAAACUCUGUUAUUAGGGAAGAACAUAUGUGUAAGUAACUGUGCACAUCUUGACGGUACCUAAUCAGAAAGCCACGGCUAACUACGUG